GACGAACGCUGGCGGCGUGCUUAACACAUGCAAGUCGAACGGAAAGGCGCGGCGUUUGUGUGGUGCUCGAGAGGCGAACGGGUGAGUAACACGUGAGUAACCUGCCCUUGACUUUGGGAUAACUUCAGGAAACUGGGGCUAAUACCGGAUAGGAGCUCCUGCUGCAUGGGGGGGGUUGGAAAGUUUCGGCGGUUGGGGAUGGACUCGCGGCUUAUCAGCUGGCUGGUGGGGUAGUGGCUGACCAAGGCUUUGACGGGUAGCCGGCCUGAGAGGGUGACCGGCGACCUUGGGCCUGCGAGACGGACCAGAAUGCUACGGGAGGCAGCAGUGGGGAGUAUUGCACAAUGGGCGGAAGCCUGAUGCAGCAACGCCGCGUGCGGGAUGACGGCCUUCGGGUUGUAAACCGCUUUCGCCUGUGACGAAGCGUGAGUGACGGUAAUGGGUCAAGAAGCACCGGCUAACUACGUG
RNAcentral lists this ribosomal RNA (468 nucleotides) under uncultured bacterium. RNAcentral describes it as "partial 16S ribosomal RNA". It matches the Rfam family "Bacterial small subunit ribosomal RNA", at positions 28 to 507 of the family's 1533-position model. The record is from RNAcentral.